RNAcentral lists this ribosomal RNA (566 nucleotides) under uncultured Lachnospiraceae bacterium. RNAcentral's name for it is "bacterial SSU rRNA". It matches the Rfam family "Bacterial small subunit ribosomal RNA", at positions 93 to 676 of the family's 1533-position model. Lineage: Bacteria; Bacillati; Bacillota; Clostridia; Lachnospirales; Lachnospiraceae. The record is from RNAcentral.
GAGUGGCGAACGGGUGAGUAACGCGUGAGGAACCUGCCUCAAAGAGGGGGACAACAGUUGGAAACGACUGCUAAUACCGCAUAAGCCCACGACCCGGCAUCGGGUAGAGGGAAAAGGAGCAAUCCGCUUUGAGAUGGCCUCGCGUCCGAUUAGCUAGUUGGUGAGGUAAUGGCCCACCAAGGCGACGAUCGGUAGCCGGACUGAGAGGUUGAACGGCCACAUUGGGACUGAGACACGGCCCAGACUCCUACGGGAGGCAGCAGUGGGGAAUAUUGCACAAUGGGGGAAACCCUGAUGCAGCGACGCCGCGUGGAGGAAGAAGGUCUUCGGAUUGUAAACUCCUGUUGUUGAGGAAGAUAAUGACGGUACUCAACAAGGAAGUGACGGCUAACUACGUGCCAGCAGCCGCGGUAAAACGUAGGUCACAAGCGUUGUCCGGAAUUACUGGGUGUAAAGGGAGCGCAGGCGGGAAGACAAGUUGGAAGUGAAAUCCAUGGGCUCAACCCAUGAACUGCUUUCAAAACUGUUUUUCUUGAGUAGUGCAGAGGUAGAUGGAUUCCCGGUGU